Molecule: long non-coding RNA, 1077 nt
Filed under: Sus scrofa (pig)
Lineage: Eukaryota; Metazoa; Chordata; Mammalia; Artiodactyla; Suidae
Description: lncRNA (ENSSSCG00015001829.1)
Source: RNAcentral
CAAGAGUGUUCAGGUCAAACGUGAGGUCCCAGAGCCAGGCGGCCUGCGUUCAGCCCAGCUCUGCCACUUGCGAGCCGCGUAGCUUAGUCGUCAGGAUUAACCUCUCGAUACCCCCGUUUUCGUUUUGUCAAAUGCAAGGCGUGAGAGUACCCACCUCCCAAGACUGGGAACCAGCGCGAGGCAAGUGGAACGCUGAGCACAGUGCCUGGUACAGAAGAAGCUCUAGCAAACGGAGAGCUCUUGUUAUUAUUGUGGCUAUACUUAGACUCUGUUGUCAUUAUCCUCAGAGUCUGUUCCUGCAAGGGUACAGCCUCAGCAACAGAAAUCUGCACCCCGAUCAAGCCACGCUGUUCCUCCAAAACGCUCGUGGUUACCAGAUUUGACCUGCCGUAGAAAAUCUGGCUCGCCGGGCCCAGCACCAGGGCUGGGACGUUGCCUUCCUCCUUCACAGCGGUCACUGGAAGUUUAUAUAUAGCUUCAUGCUUGAGGGCACUGCUUUCAACUCCAGCUCCACCCUCGCUCACUGUGUGACAGCCUGCAAGCCUCGGAACGGAACGGCUCCUACCUGCAACUCCUCCGUCAAGCGGAUCGCUGGACAUGUGAAAAUAAACGUGGAAAAGGUUGGCUUAGCACAGGGCCCGGUGCCUCAAGAGGCCUCCAUCAGAGGCGGCUGAACCAUAACCCAUGGUCUCACGGGGGCCCCACCAGAGCUCUAGGGUACGAGGAAGGGCAGGGCUCUUGUCAGCAUUGUCAUCAGCGGCACACGAGAGCCUGGGCCCGGAGAGGGGCGAGGCCCACCUGCUCCAACUCCAUCAGUGCUGAGGGGGCACCUGCUGUCUGGCUCGGCGCCCUUGCCCCUUUCCUGGUGACAGAACCCAGAUUUUCCGUCACAGAACGGCUCCUCCCCACCGGGGGGACAACCCCGGGGACAGGCUCUGUCCAUAGGAGCAUCGCAGGUGUCCCCCCGGCCCAGCGAGGAGGGCAGGGAGGGCCAGGGGGUUACGUCUGUCCAAUGAGACUCGACUCUAAGAUCUCUGCUUCGGUUUUUGAGAACAGGAUUAUCUCGUUUCUGCUGGG